AUAAUACUUGUUUGUUAUUCCCUGUAAAGUUUAUUUUCUUAACUCAUUUUCGUGCCUUUAUAUUUUCCAAUUCGGUAGGGCCAUCUGGAAACGAGUAACUGUCCUUCCAAAUCGUUGAUAGCAAUUGACCGUACCCUCAUUAGGUACGUUCUAGGUUUCCUGCUUUUAAUCAUAUGUGACACCUAGGUGUGGGUGAUCGCACUCGCAGGAAAAUAGUACUGCAGGAAUCGUGAAUGAAUGAUAUUCAUUUCGCGAAGUUUUCUUAGGAGAGUGUUGUAAUUCGAUGGAACUGUGAGAGGGAGGCGAAAAUCAUCUAUUUUUGGAGUGUGUUUCAAAAUGAACGACAGGCAGGUCUAACGGUUGAGGGAGUGCAACAAUUUUUAUUGUUACCCACGUUGGGGAUUCUACUUCUGAUAUCAAAAUAGUGAUUGAAGUGCCUCUUUGAUUUUGGUCAUUGAUGUAGUUAUUGUUGAGGACUAUCACGAACCGUUUAAGGGAUUUAUUUGACCGGAGCCGUUCAAUUUCAAUUGCUGCUACUAUAAAAAAAAACUACAAAGGUGGAAAAAUUCCAGUUACACCUAUUGGGACGGAUUUCUCAAAGUGUUCACAUCACUAGAAGGGAAGUUGAGAAUUUUCUCCAUUCUUUUUAAACGAUCCAUUGUGAGUUGGAGGUGUUAUUUGGGACAAAAAAAAAAUAAUAAACCAACGCCCAGGAAUUUUGCUGGUCUACUUUUUUUUCCUCUUUGGAAGAAACAAAAAAAACCCUUCUGAGAAGGGUUUUUUUUUUGGUUGGCUUGGGAUUUGAUCUACACGAUUUGAUAUAACCUUGAGCCAUACCUACCGGAAACGGAGUCAGCGUCUUAUGCCCCAGCACGCAAGUACCUAGAUAAGAGGGUUAAGAAUUUUUUUUGUGAUCUAGUGAUAUACUUAUUAAGAUCCAUUUAUCAACUAUACCACUAAUUAUUUCAUGGAAAGCGGAAA
This 981-nucleotide long non-coding RNA is filed under the name Leptinotarsa decemlineata (Colorado potato beetle). RNAcentral describes it as "uncharacterized LOC111506219, transcript variant X1". Lineage: Eukaryota; Metazoa; Arthropoda; Insecta; Coleoptera; Chrysomelidae. The record is from RNAcentral.